GGGGAAUUUUCCGCAAUGGGCGAAAGCCUGACGGAGCAAUACCGCGUGAGGGAGGUAGGCUCUUGGGUCGUAAACCUCUUUUCUCAGGGAAGAAAAAAAUGACGGUACCUGAGGAAUAAGCAUCGGCUAACUCCGUGCCAGCAGCCGCGGUAAUACGGAGGAUGCAAGCGUUAUCCGGAAUGAUUGGGCGUAAAGGGUCCGCAGGUGGCGAUGUAAGUCUGCUGUUAAAGAGUCAUGCUCAACAUGAUAAGAGCAGUGGAAACUACAGAGCUAGAGUGCGUUCGGGGCAGAGGGAAUUCCUGGUGUAGCGGUGAAAUGCGUAGAUAUCAGGAAGAACACCGGUGGCGAAAGCGCUCUGCUAGGCCGCAACUGACACUGAGGGACGAAAGCUAGGGGAGCGAAUGGGAUUAGAUACCCCAGUAGUC
Molecule: ribosomal RNA, 425 nt
Filed under: uncultured cyanobacterium
Lineage: Bacteria; Bacillati; Cyanobacteriota
Description: bacterial SSU rRNA
Rfam family: Bacterial small subunit ribosomal RNA
Source: RNAcentral